GGUUGGUCUAAAUCCAGUGGUGUUUAAAACCAAUUGAUCACAACCAGUUACAGAUUCCUUUGUUCCUUCUCCACUCCCACUGCUUCACUUGACCAACCCUUU
RNAcentral lists this Y RNA (102 nucleotides) under Propithecus coquereli (Coquerel's sifaka). Its description in RNAcentral is "Y RNA (ENSPCOG00000003447.1)". It matches the Rfam family "Y RNA". Rfam says of the family: Y RNAs are components of the Ro ribonucleoprotein particle (Ro RNP), in association with Ro60 and La proteins. The Y RNAs and Ro60 and La proteins are well conserved, but the function of the Ro RNP is not known. In humans the RNA component can be one of four small RNAs -- hY1, hY3, hY4 and hY5. Lineage: Eukaryota; Metazoa; Chordata; Mammalia; Primates; Indriidae. The record is from Rfam by way of RNAcentral.